UAUUAAUAAGUGUAUGGAGCACGAAGUUUUUUGAAAACUUAAGAAAUAGUUUAAUUCUAUUAUUAAUAA
Molecule: transfer RNA, 69 nt
Filed under: Neodiprion huizeensis
Lineage: Eukaryota; Metazoa; Arthropoda; Insecta; Hymenoptera; Diprionidae
Description: tRNA-Gln
Source: RNAcentral